This 319-nucleotide ribosomal RNA is filed under the name uncultured eukaryote. Its description in RNAcentral is "partial 18S ribosomal RNA". It matches the Rfam family "Eukaryotic small subunit ribosomal RNA", at positions 1470 to 1796 of the family's 1831-position model. The record is from RNAcentral.
CCCUUAGAUGUUCUGGGCUGCACGCGUGCUACAAUGGCGUUUCCAGCAAGUCUGCGAACCCGAGAGGGCCAGCGGAUCUUCGAAUUGGCGUCGUGAUCGGGACAGUCGAUUGCAAUUAUUUGACUCAAACGAGGAAUUCCUUGUAAUCGCGAUUCAUCAUAUCGCGCUGAAUACGUCCCUGCCCUUUGUACACACCGCCCGUCGCUCCUACCGAUUGAGCGAUCCGGUAAAUGUUUUGGAGUGGUGCCGGGGCGGCUAGCUGCCGGUCGCUACGAAAUUUUGUGAACCUUAUCGCUUAGAGGAAGGAAAAGUCGUAACA